AGUCCAGAGCCCGGGCUCCGGGAAAGCCGUGCUUUUGCGGUUCCGGUUGCUGGUUCUCACACCGCUGCGUCGUGUGGGGUUGUUGGCCCGAGAAGGGGCAGGACAGGGUGCGCGCUGGCGGAGGUUAGUGAGGUCACAUACCGGGCCUUGGCGCCUGGUGCACUGGGCGCCUCCACCGCAACCUUCGUAGCAAACCCAGCGGGGUUCUCUGCCUGGGCACCAUGGUUCUUGCGUUCAUUUACUGUCCAGUUUCUCAUUCCGAAAAGUGUGGCUUUUUCCAGGCGCAAACGGAUGGUUUUGGAGCAUUAAGGUCUGGUCGGCUGGGGCAGGAUGGCUGCGUUGACACGUCUUAUUUACCACAUCGUAGGUGAGGUAGCCACUUACCUCUUUACAGAUUGAAAUUUUUACAUUUCAUGUUUAUGUAAGUUGAAAUAGAAGUAUAUAUUACAAGCAUUAUGAAAGUAUGUAACAAGGCUGGGCGCGGAGGCUGACGCCUGUAAUCCCAGCACUUUGGGAGGCCGAGGUGGGCAGAUCACUUGAAGCCAGGAGUUCGAGACCAGCCUGGCCAACAUGGUGAAACCCCGUCUCUACUAAAAAUACGAAAAUUAGCCGGGCAUGGUGGUGCACGCCUGUAGUCCCAGCUACUCGGGAGGCGGAGGCAGGAGAAUCAUUUGAACGCGGGUUGCGAAGGUUGCAGUGAGCCGAGAUUGCGCCACUGCACUCCAGCCUGGGUGACACAGCAAGACUAUGUCUCACAAAUAAAUGAAUAAAAUAUGUAACAGUAUGUAUAAAUGUAUGAUUUAUAGGGAUGGAGCAGAGGGGACCCAAUUCAUUGCCCUGGGGACUGGUGUCCUUAUAAGAAGAGACGUGAUGGACGCU
RNAcentral lists this long non-coding RNA (879 nucleotides) under Homo sapiens (human). RNAcentral's name for it is "non-protein coding lnc-PCSK1N-4:3". Lineage: Eukaryota; Metazoa; Chordata; Mammalia; Primates; Hominidae. The record is from RNAcentral.